Molecule: non-coding RNA, 22 nt
Filed under: Rattus norvegicus (Norway rat)
Lineage: Eukaryota; Metazoa; Chordata; Mammalia; Rodentia; Muridae
Source: RNAcentral
CAUAAAGGGCCCAUUAUCAGGU